RNAcentral lists this non-coding RNA (100 nucleotides) under pig gut metagenome. The record is from RNAcentral.
GCUAGGGGAGCUUUUGCUGAGAUUUACCGGAAAGUUUAAAAUUUCGGAUAAACCCUCAUUACCUGAUUCGGUUAAUGCCGGCGUAGGGAAGCAAAUAUGC